Megalobrama amblycephala (Wuchang bream) is the source of this 687-nucleotide long non-coding RNA. RefSeq lists it as uncharacterized. NCBI's taxonomy places the organism in Eukaryota, Metazoa, Chordata, Actinopteri, Cypriniformes, Xenocyprididae. The transcript has 3 exons. The record is from RefSeq and is a predicted model, not a curated record.
UUAUAUAUUCAUUUUGUAGGAUCAGUACAGAUUUGUUAUUGGAGAUACAGUGCAAGCUGUGUGGAAUCAAAGACCUGUAUUGAUGAGGCCAGUGUCAGUGAAGAUGGUGUGGUCACUGGAAUCCUGGUGUUUGUGGGAAAUGUGAAGGAGCUUCUCCCAGGAUUCUACUACAGUGUUGUCCUGAUGACUGAGGUAUUUAUUUUUUUUACUUUCUUGCCUCUUUGGAACAUGUUCAUUUACGCAUACUGUGUAGAGGUGGUUCGCAGCUUCAUGGACAUUUAAGGUUUUCUGACGAUGAAGAGCUUCUGGGACAUUGACAUAAACAGCACUUUUUCAUACAACUUAAAAAAAGGUGGUGACAGACAAUUUUGGUUUUCUUGUUUUUGUGCCUUUGGAAUUCAUUGUUUUUUUGUUUGUUUUGUUUUUUCUUUUCAAAAUUACAUUCACUGUAAUGCUGGAGUAAGAUUUUAGAAGAAACUUUUUUGUCCUGUUUAAUGUUUGUGCUAGUAAGGGUUGCAGAGCUUAUAAGUAACAAGGUUUACAAAAGGUAACACUUUACAAAAGGUCUCGCUUGUUAACAUCAAUUAAUAUAUUAGACAACAUUAUCUAACUAUGUGCAUUGACUUUUUUUUACAGUAUUUAUCAAUAUUUGUUAACAUUAGGCAAUAAAAAAAUUUUUUUCUCAAG